Molecule: ribosomal RNA, 329 nt
Filed under: uncultured eukaryote
Lineage: Eukaryota
Description: partial 18S ribosomal RNA
Rfam family: Eukaryotic small subunit ribosomal RNA
Source: RNAcentral
CCCUUAGAUGUUCUGGGCCGCACGCGCGCUACACUGACGAUGGCAACGAGUUUUUCCUUCGCCGAAAGGUGUGGGUAAUCUUUUGAAACAUCGUCGUGCUGGGGAUAGAUCAUUGCAAUUUUUGAUCUUGAACGAGGAAUUCCUAGUAAGCGCGAGUCAUCAGCUCGCGUUGAUUACGUCCCUGCCCUUUGUACACACCGCCCGUCGCUACUACCGAUUGAAUGGUUUAGUGAGGACUCCUGAUUGGCGCCGCCGCCCCGGCAACGGAGCAGCGGACUGCCGAAAAGUUGUUCAAACUUGAUCAUUUAGAGGAAGUAAAAGUCGUAACG